AUGAGCUCGUCCUCGGCGCCUCGUGAUGACGCCACUAUGCAGCCGAGGGAGGAGGAGGAGAGGGAUGCCGUCAUCGCGAGGCGGACGGAGAGGAUGGCGUACUCGAGGGAGCUCCUGCUCGCCGUCGGCAGCUUGGAGGCAUGCAAGCUGCUGCCCGCCGACGCCGACUUGGCCAAGCACCCCGAUGACGCCGCACUGUGGGUUCCUUCCCAAACUCUGGCUGGAGGUGCUCCUGGAGGCCUAGGGGAUCCGGAAUUGCCUCGGCGAAACCGAGAGCCGGAGGAGUUUCAAGCAGGCGCAGGAAGCAAAUCCAAGCCAUGCGUCAGGUUCUUCAGGUAA
This 339-nucleotide ribosomal RNA is filed under the name Triticum aestivum (bread wheat). RNAcentral's name for it is "partial small subunit ribosomal RNA". Lineage: Eukaryota; Viridiplantae; Streptophyta; Magnoliopsida; Poales; Poaceae. The record is from RNAcentral.